UACGUAGGGGGCCAGCGUUGUCCGGACUUACUGGGCGUAAAGCGCGCGCAGGCGGUCGUGUAUGUGCCGUGUGAAAGCGCCGGGCUCAACUGGGGAGGGUCACGCGAUACUGCUCGACUUGAAGGCAGGAGAGGGAAGUGGAAUUCCCGGUGUAGUGGUGAAAUGCGUAGAUAUCGGGAGGAACACCUGUGGCGAAAGCGGCUCACUGGACCACAACUGACGCUGAUGCGCGAAAGCUAGGGGAGCAAACAGG
Molecule: ribosomal RNA, 253 nt
Filed under: uncultured bacterium
Lineage: Bacteria
Description: partial 16S ribosomal RNA
Rfam family: Bacterial small subunit ribosomal RNA
Source: RNAcentral